Molecule: long non-coding RNA, 476 nt
Organism: Ochotona curzoniae (black-lipped pika)
Lineage: Eukaryota; Metazoa; Chordata; Mammalia; Lagomorpha; Ochotonidae
Exons: 3
Source: RefSeq, a predicted model, not a curated record
CCUGGGUGGGUGGCUGACGGCCGUGACUGCUUGCAGAAAGCAGAGAAUAGCAUGAGUGUUGUAUCUGGGAAGAAUGAGCUUGCAUGGAUGUGUGUGUAUGGCACCUGAUGGAGGGCGGGGAUACCCACUACAAGUGUCUCUUGUGAUGUUGCUGCUCAGCUUUACUGGUGACCUGUGCAAGACUAGGACCUGGGCCUAGAACCUGUCCUUCCUCAUUUGGUCCAGGUUCACCUGUGAUGUGACCAAGACCAUGCUGUUUUGGACUGAAGACAAGUAGCUGGUCCACGUGCUUUACUUCUGAAAACAAGCCAUCAACCUCCAUCAGUCCUCCAUACAUACCUUCAGAGCCAAGAAAAAGCAAUUACCCUUCAGAGCUGAUGUAAGGCGACCUUCUGGAGACGUGCUUGGACUGCCUUGGUCAUUUCCCAGUCCUGAGCCCAACUGCUACGGCUGCCUCUGGAGCAGAGGCACAUGCA